This 443-nucleotide ribosomal RNA is filed under the name Evansstolkia leycettana. RNAcentral describes it as "bacterial SSU rRNA". It matches the Rfam family "Eukaryotic small subunit ribosomal RNA", at positions 858 to 1301 of the family's 1831-position model. The record is from RNAcentral. Lineage: Eukaryota; Fungi; Ascomycota; Eurotiomycetes; Eurotiales; Aspergillaceae.
CGCCGGUGUGAUUAAUAGGUAUAGUCGGGGGCGUCACUAUUCUGCUGUCCAAAGUGAAAUUCUUGAAUUUGCAGAUGACUAACUACUGCAAAAGCAUUCGCUUGGAUGUUUUCAUUAAUCAAGAAACGAAAGUUACGGGAUCGAAGACCAUNAUAUACCGUCGUAGUCUUAACCAUAAACUAUGCCAACAAGGGAUCGGACGGGAUUCUAUGAAGACCCGUUCGGCACCUUACNACAAAUCAAUGUUUUUGGGUUCUGGAGGGAGUAUGGUCUCAAGGCUGAAACUUAAGGAAAUUUACCGANGGNCACCACAAGGUGUGNAGCCUGCGGCUUAAUUUGAGUCGCCAUUGGGAAACUCACCUUGUCCUUACAAAAUAAGGAUUGACAGAUUGAGAGCUCUUUCUUGAUCUUUUGCAUGGUGGGGCACGGCCGUUCUUACUUGG